Molecule: long non-coding RNA, 2010 nt
Filed under: Capsicum annuum
Lineage: Eukaryota; Viridiplantae; Streptophyta; Magnoliopsida; Solanales; Solanaceae
Description: long non-coding RNA (CANN_LNC002322)
Source: RNAcentral
UUUUAUCUUUCUUACUUUCAAAACUUACUUUAUAGUGGGAGAUAUUGAGGUUGAUUGAUCGUCUUUCUUUGACUAAAAUGUCAAAUAGAAUUAACCUGAAUUUUAGAUUGUAAUCCAAAAUCUCAGAAAAACAAAAAGGAAAUGAAAAAGUGAGAGUCAAACCCCUACACAUAUAUGGUUUAGAUCCCCAAGAAAAUGCAACAGCGUCACACACCUAGGAUUUCAAUUUAUGACCUAAGAUAAAACCUUUAACCCCAUUUACCACAACAUUAUUUGUAAGAAAACUAAGAUCCAGGAACGAACUAACUUUUAUAGUGUAAUCAUUGUUCUUCUGGAGUUUAAGUCUCUCACUUUGAAAAAUGUUGGAGGAAUAGUGACAAAAUUCCUCCAAGAUUUUACAAAGCCAAUGAAGUUCGAAUUUUCAACAAUUAACUCAAUUUUUUUCCACAAGAACAAAACUAUUUGAUGUAAGGAGAACCAACACAAGAAGAAAUGAAUGAGAUUUAAUUGAGCCCUCGAGAUUUUCAAAUGGGAAUUUAAUUGAGGCCCCUUGAUUGAACUUUCUACAACUACUCACAUCUUUAGAGAGAGAAAAACUUAUAUGUGCACUUUGUUUUUAAACAAGAAAACUGAAGUUGUGAAAUGUAGACACACACACAUAUAUAAGGGGGUAACAUGUCAAGUUUAAGUGUGUGGUUAAGAAUUCAAAAAAAGUUGACGGGCAUUCAUAUAUGCAUCAUCUCAUCCUUUAGCUUAUUUAUAUGCAUAGUUAUAGUGUAAAAAGACUUCCAAAGCAUGCUUGCAUAUUUAUUUUAUUUUCAAGUUAUUAAUCCUACUCUUUUUAUAAACAGUUACUUUUAACGCGAUUAAUAUAUAAAAAUUAAAUUUUUACACUAAUAUAUCUUUAUGCAUAGGUAACUCGUUUUAGUUGUGGUGGAUUUGUUGUUGGAUUCAGAGUUAACCACACUGUGAUGGAUGCUUAUGGAUUCAAAAUGUUUCUAAAUGCAUUAAGUGAAUUAAUUCAAGGAGCUUCUGCACCUUCCAUACUACCUGUAUGGCAAAGGGAUCUUCUAAGUGCAAGAUCAUCCCCAUGCAUUACAUGUACUCACCAUGAGUUUGAUGAGAUAACUGAAUCAAGAACUGCAUGGGAAUCUAUGGAAGACAAGUUGAUACAACGAUCAUUUUUCUUUGGAAAUAAGGAGAUGAAAGCUAUUAAAAAUCAUGUUUCUUCAAAUUGUAAAAGUACAAAAUAUGAGUUGUUAGUGGCAUUUUUAUGGAAAUGUCGUACGAUUGCUCUCAAAUUGCACCCUCAAGAAAUUGUUCGUCUGACAUAUUUUGUUAGCAUACGUGGAAAAUCAGUUAAAUAUGAAUUGCCACCUGGAUAUUAUGGAAAUGCAUUCAUCACUCCAGCUGCAGUAUCAAAAGCAAGAUUGUUAUGUUCAAAUCCACUGUCAUAUGCAGUUGAACUAGUCAAGAAACUUAAAGAUCAUUUGACUGAAGAAUACAUUAAAUCAGUGAUAGACCUCAUGAUUAUUAAAGGGAGACCAGAGUUGUCAAAGUCUUGGAAUUUUAUUGUUUCAGAUAAUAGAUCUGUUGGAUUUGAUGAAUAUGAUUUUGGAUGGGGAAAGCCCAUCUUUGGAGGGGCUUCAGCUUCUUUCAUUAGUAUUGGUAUUCCUUUUAAUAAUGAAGAGGGAGAAAAGGGUAUUUUAGUAGCUAUAAGUUUGCCUCCAAUGGCCAUGAAAAAUUUUCAAAAGGUUGUAUUCGAGAUGACUUUAAAUAAUGUUGAAGAAGUUGACAUAAUUUCACGGAUGUAAGAGUUUUGUUUUUGUCUUUCUACCCCAUCAAUACAUGUUUUGGGAGUGAUUAAAUCAAAAUUAUGAAGCUUAAUAUUUCAUCCAUAUCCUGUUAGAAACUACUUGUCCAUCAUGUAUGAUACUGCAAAUCAAAUAUCAUUUUAUUUUAUCUUUAUGUAACAAUAUUUAAUUGGAGACGGAAUUAAAGAGAAAAAAA